This 431-nucleotide ribosomal RNA is filed under the name Enterococcus casseliflavus. Its description in RNAcentral is "bacterial SSU rRNA". It matches the Rfam family "Bacterial small subunit ribosomal RNA", at positions 28 to 437 of the family's 1533-position model. Lineage: Bacteria; Bacillati; Bacillota; Bacilli; Lactobacillales; Enterococcaceae. The record is from RNAcentral.
GACGAACGCUGGCGGCGUGCCUAAUACAUGCAAGUCGAACGCUUUUUCUUUCACCGGAGCUUGCUCCACCGAAAGAAAAAGAGUGGCGAACGGGUGAGUAACACGUGGGUAACCUGCCCAUCAGAAGGGGAUAACACUUGGAAACAGGUGCUAAUACCGUAUAACACUAUUUUCCGCAUGGAAGAAAGUUGAAAGGCGCUUUUGCGUCACUGAUGGAUGGACCCGCGGUGCAUUAGCUAGUUGGUGAGGUAACGGCUCACCAAGGCAACGAUGCAUAGCCGACCUGAGAGGGUGAUCGGCCACACUGGGACUGAGACACGGCUCGGACUCCUACGGGAGGCAGCAGUAGGGAAUCUUCGGCAAUGGACGAAAGUCUGACCGAGCAAACGCCGCGUGAGUGAAGAAGGUUUUCGGAUUCGUAAAACUUCUGU